This 433-nucleotide ribosomal RNA is filed under the name uncultured bacterium. Its description in RNAcentral is "partial 16S ribosomal RNA". It matches the Rfam family "Bacterial small subunit ribosomal RNA", at positions 29 to 507 of the family's 1533-position model. The record is from RNAcentral.
AACGAACGCUGGCGGCAUGCCUAACACAUGCAAGUCGAACGAGACCUUCGGGUCUAGUGGCGCACGGGUGCGUAACGGGUGGGAACCUGCCCUUAAGUUCGGCAUAACUCCCCGAAAGGGGUGCUAAUACCGGAUCAUAUCUUCGGUCCGAAGAUUUGUCGCCUUUGGUGGGGCCCGCGUUGGAUUAGCUUGUUGGUAGGGUAAAAGCCUACCACGGCGACGAUCCAUAACUGGUCUGCGAGGAAGGUAAGCCACACUGGGACUGAGACACGGCCCGGACUCCUGCGGGAUGCAGCAGUGCGGAAUACUGGACAAUGGGGUGAAUGCUGAUGCAGCUCUGCCGGUUGAGCGCUGAAGGUCGUAGGGUUGGAAAGCUCGUUUACCCGGGAUUAUAAUGACAGUACCGGGAGAAUAAGCUCCGGCUAACUCCGUG